CCUACGGGAGGCAGCAGUGAGGAAUAUUGGUCAAUGGACGAGAGUCUGAACCAGCCAAGUAGCGUGAAGGAUGACUGCCCUAUGGGUUGUAAACUUCUUUUAUAUGGGAAUAAAAUGUUCCACGUGUGGGAUUUUGUAUGUACCAUAUGAAUAAGGAUCGGCUAACUCCGUGCCAGCAGCCGCGGUAAUACGGAGGAUCCGAGCGUUAUCCGGAUUUAUUGGGUUUAAAGGGAGCGUAGGUGGAUUGUUAAGUCAGUUGUGAAAGUUUGCGGCUCAACCGUAAAAUUGCAGUUGAAACUGGCAGACUUGAGUAUAGUAGAGGUGGGCGGAAUGCGUGGUGUAGCGGUGAAAUGCUUAGAUAUCACGAAGAACACCGAUUGCGAAGGCAGCUCACUGGACUGCAACUGACACUGAGGCUCGAAAGUGUGGGUAUCAAACAGGAUUAGAUACCCCUGUAGUC
Molecule: ribosomal RNA, 460 nt
Filed under: uncultured bacterium
Lineage: Bacteria
Description: partial 16S ribosomal RNA
Rfam family: Bacterial small subunit ribosomal RNA
Source: RNAcentral